GUAUACGGCUGAGAGGGCGACCGGCCACACUGGGACUGAGACACGGCCCAGACUCCUACGGGAGGAGCAGUGGGGAAUAUUGCACAAUGGGCGAAAGGCUGAUGCAGCGCCGCCGCGUGAGGGAUGACGGCCUUCGGGUUGUAAACCUCUUUCAGCAGGGAAGAAGCGAAAGUGACGGUACCUGCAGAAGAAGCGCCGGCUAACUACGUGCCAGCAGCCGCGGUAAUACGUAGGGCGCAAGCGUUGUCCGGAAUUAUUGGGCGUAAAGAGCUCGUAGGCGGCUUGUCGCGUCGGUUGUGAAAGCCCGGGGCUUAACCCCGGGUCUGCAGUCGAUACGGGCAGGCUAGAGUUCGGGUAGGGGAGAUCGGAAUUCCUGGUGUAGCGGUGAAAUGCGCAGAUAUCAGGAGGAACACCGGUGGCGAAGGCGGAUCUCUGGGCCGAUACUGACGCUGAGGAGCGAAAGCGUGGGGGAGCGAACAGGAUUAGAUACCCUGGUAGUCCACGCCGUAAACGUGGGCACUAGGUGUGGGCAACAUUCCACGUUGUCCGUGCCGCAGCUAACGCAUUAAGUGCCCCGCCUGGGAAGUACGGA
Molecule: ribosomal RNA, 592 nt
Filed under: Streptomyces sp.
Lineage: Bacteria; Bacillati; Actinomycetota; Actinomycetes; Kitasatosporales; Streptomycetaceae
Description: bacterial SSU rRNA
Rfam family: Bacterial small subunit ribosomal RNA
Source: RNAcentral